AUACGAAAGGUGCAAGCGUUGUUCGGAUUUACUGGGCGUAAAGAGAGUGUAGGUUGUUUAUUAAGUCGGAUGUGAAAUCCCGGGGCUCAACCUCGGAACUGCAUUCGAUACUGGUAGACUCGAGUUCGGGAGGGGUAAGCGGAAUUCCGUGUGUAGCAGUGAAAUGCGUAGAUAUACGGAGGAACACCUGAGGCGAAGGCGGCUUACUGGACCGAUACUGACACUGAGACUCGAAAGCGUGGGUAGCAAACAGGAUUAGAAACCCGUGUAGUCC
RNAcentral lists this ribosomal RNA (274 nucleotides) under uncultured bacterium. RNAcentral's name for it is "partial 16S ribosomal RNA". It matches the Rfam family "Bacterial small subunit ribosomal RNA", at positions 523 to 796 of the family's 1533-position model. The record is from RNAcentral.